RNAcentral lists this long non-coding RNA (377 nucleotides) under Lathyrus oleraceus (garden pea). RNAcentral describes it as "Pisum sativum (pea) long non-coding RNA (PSAT_LNC033511)". The record is from RNAcentral. Lineage: Eukaryota; Viridiplantae; Streptophyta; Magnoliopsida; Fabales; Fabaceae.
AUUGUAUCAACUACCAAUUAAAAAAAAACCUAAAUUGAAGAAACGUCACCGUUUAAACGAAGAUCAUUAUCGCAAUCGAAUCCGCAUCCACACUGAGGGCAUUCAAGGAAAUUCUCAGCCCCAAAACUAGCAGAAGUAAUACCCACAGAAAAAUCAAUAUCAUCACCACUCCGAAAAACCUCCACAUACUGAGCCACAAAAUCACAAUCUUGACGGAAAUACCCUUGAGUUAUAUAAGCUUAUUCUCAGAAAUCACGCCAGAGAUAGUAGACUUGUAACUAGCGUGUAACUUUCAAUAGUGAAACUACAACUUUUUUCGAAGAACACUGAAAAUUGCCCCGUUUCUCUGUUCAACGUGUACCCAAUCGCGCCUUUCG